This 497-nucleotide ribosomal RNA is filed under the name uncultured bacterium. RNAcentral describes it as "partial 16S ribosomal RNA". It matches the Rfam family "Bacterial small subunit ribosomal RNA", at positions 28 to 507 of the family's 1533-position model. The record is from RNAcentral.
GACGAACGCUGGCGGCGUGCCUAAUACAUGCAAGUUGAGCGCUGAAGGUUGGUACUUGUACCAACUGGAUGAGCAGCGAACGGGUGAGUAACGCGUGGGGAAUCUGCCUUUGAGCGGGGGACAACAUUUGGAAACGAAUGCUAAUACCGCAUAAAAACUUUAAACACAAGUUUUAAGUUUGAAAGAUGCAAUUGCAUCACUCAAAGAUGAUCCCGCGUUGUAUUAGCUAGUUGGUGAGGUAAAGGCUCACCAAGGCGAUGAUACAUAGCCGACCUGAGAGGGUGAUAGGCCACAUUGGGACUGAGACACGGCCCAAACUCCUACGGGAAGCAGCAGUAGGGAAUCUUCGGCAAUGGACGAAAGUCUGAACGAGCAACGCCGCGUGAGUGAAGAAGGUUUUCGGAUCGUAAAACUCUGUUGGUAGAGAAGAACGUUGGUGAGAGUGGAAAGCUCAUCAAGUGACGGUAACUACCCAGAAAGGGACGGCUAACUACGUG